This 602-nucleotide ribosomal RNA is filed under the name Janthinobacterium sp. NKUCC08_JDC. Its description in RNAcentral is "partial 23S ribosomal RNA". It matches the Rfam family "Bacterial large subunit ribosomal RNA", at positions 1098 to 1696 of the family's 2925-position model. The record is from RNAcentral. Lineage: Bacteria; Pseudomonadati; Pseudomonadota; Betaproteobacteria; Burkholderiales; Oxalobacteraceae.
AUGUUGGCUUAGAAGCAGCCAUCAUUUAAAGAAAGCGUAAUAGCUCACUGAUCGAGUCGUCCUGCGCGGAAGAUGUAACGGGGCUAAGCCAGUCACCGAAGCUGCGGAUAUUGUUCUGUGAUUUAUCACAGAUAUAUAUGGUAGGAGAGCGUUCUGUAAGCCUGCGAAGGUGUCUUGUAAAGGAUGCUGGAGGUAUCAGAAGUGCGAAUGCUGACAUGAGUAGCGAUAAUGGGGGUGAAAAGCCUCCACGCCGUAAGCCCAAGGUUUCCUGUUCAACGUUCAUCGGAGCAGGGUGAGUCGGCCCCUAAGGCGAGGCAGAGAUGCGUAGCUGAUGGGAAGCAGGUUAAUAUUCCUGCACCGUCGUAUGAUGCGAUGGGGGGACGGAUCGCGGAAGGUUGUCUGACUGUUGGAAUAGUCAGUUUCUGUCUCAUAGAAGGCGCUUAGGCAAAUCCGGGCGCGGAAUUCAAGGGGAUGGGACGAGUGCACUUGUGCACGAAGCAAUCGGAAGUGGUUCCAAGAAAAGCCUCUAAGCUUCAGUCAUACGAGACCGUACCGCAAACCGACACAGGUGGGCGAGAUGAGUAUUCUAAGGCGCUUGAGAG